GAGCCGGAAAUCGAGCACGCUGUGACGC
Molecule: small RNA, 28 nt
Filed under: Bombyx mori (domestic silkworm)
Lineage: Eukaryota; Metazoa; Arthropoda; Insecta; Lepidoptera; Bombycidae
Description: ovarian small RNA-5143
Source: RNAcentral